AGUGAACGCUGGCGGUAGGCCUAACACAUGCAAGUCGAACGGCAGCACAGUAAGAGCUUGCUCUUACGGGUGGCGAGUGGCGGACGGGUGAGGAAUACAUCGGACUCUACUUUUUCGUGGGGGAUAACGUAGGGAAACUUACGCAAAUACCGCAUACGACCUACGGGUGAAAGCAGGGGAUCUUCGGACCUUGCGCGAUUGAAUGAGCCGAUGUCGGAUUAGCUAGUUGGCGGGGUAAAGGCCUACCAAGGCGACGAUCCGUAGCUGGUCUGAGAGGAUGAUAACCCACACUAGAGCUGAGACACGGUCCAGACGCCUACGGGAGGCAGCAGUGGGGAAUAUUGGACAAUGGGCGCGAGCCUGAUCCAGCCAUACCGCGUGGGUGACGAAGGCGUUCGGGUUGUAAAGACCUUUUGUUGGGAAAGAAAAGCAGCAGGUUAAUACCCCGCGGUUCUGACGGUACCCAAAGAAUAAGCACCGGCUAACUUCGUG
This 492-nucleotide ribosomal RNA is filed under the name uncultured bacterium. Its description in RNAcentral is "partial 16S ribosomal RNA". It matches the Rfam family "Bacterial small subunit ribosomal RNA", at positions 29 to 507 of the family's 1533-position model. The record is from RNAcentral.